Molecule: ribosomal RNA, 484 nt
Filed under: uncultured bacterium
Lineage: Bacteria
Description: partial 16S ribosomal RNA
Rfam family: Bacterial small subunit ribosomal RNA
Source: RNAcentral
AUUGAACGCUGGCGGCAGGCCUAACACAUGCAAGUCGAGCGGAUGAAGGGAGCUUGCUCCUGGAUUCAGCGGCGGACGGGUGAGUAAUGCCUAUGAAUCUGCCUGGUAGUGGGGUAUAACGUCCUGAAACGGGCGCUAAUACCGCAUACGUCCUGAGGGAGAAAGUGGGGGAUCUUCGGACCUCACGCUAUCAUAUGAGCCUAGGUCGGAUUAGCUAGUUGGUGGGGUAAAGGCCUACCAAGGCGACGAUCCGUAACUGGUCUGAGAGGAUGAUCAGUCACACUGGAACUGAGACACGGUCCAGACUCCUAAGGGAGGCAGCAGUGGGGAAUAUUGGACAAUGGGCGAAAGCCUGAUCCAGCCAUGCCGCGUGUGUGAAGAAGGUCUUCGGAUUGUAAAGAACUUUAAGUUGGGAGGAAGGGCAGUAAGUUAAUACCUUGCUGUUUUGACGUUACCAACAGAAUAAGCACCGGCUAACUUCGUG